This is a long non-coding RNA of Herpailurus yagouaroundi (jaguarundi), 527 nucleotides long. RefSeq lists it as uncharacterized. The record is from RefSeq and is a predicted model, not a curated record. Lineage: Eukaryota; Metazoa; Chordata; Mammalia; Carnivora; Felidae. The transcript has 3 exons.
AAUAGCACUUUUAUUUGGGACUGUUUGGCUCUGAGCGGGUGGGCGGAGGAGGAGGCGGCCGACGGGGCUGCGGGGGAGGGGGUGGUCAGCGGCAUCUGGCUACACACCUGCUCCUGCUUAACCCUGGUUAAAGCCUCUGGAAGAGGCCGGGCUAGCACCAGAGAAGAAAAGCAGAAGGAUGUGUUCUCCGACUCUGGGAGGUAGUCACACUGGGUCUCCAUUCCUGUGAUGACCUGGGUAACUGAGGAGAAUUAUUCAAAUAACCCACCCCCCUCUCCCAGUCGCUUUACUUUGAAAACCAGUGCCUGGACUAUACUGGGAGCAAACUGAGGCUCAGAGAGGAGAAGCGACUUGCCCAAGAUCACACAGCAAGUUUGUGCCAGAGCCUGGGCUAGUACAUAGAUUGCCUGAAGGCCUAUCGGGGAGAACCCCUGUAGGGUUUUGAAGAGGAGGAAGCUGCUGCCGGUGCCCCUGUAGCCAGCACAGAAAGCCCCAGGGCCUGGCUCUGGGAUGCUGACUGUGGGCAC